UACGUAGGGUGCGAGUGUUAAUCGGAAUUACUGGGCGUAAAGCGUGCGUAGGCGGUUUGUUAAGUCUGCUGUGAAAUCCCCGGGCUCAACCUGGGAAUGGCAGUGGAUACUGGCAAGCUAGAGUGUGUCAGAGGGUGGUGGAAUUCCCGGUGUAGCGGUGAAAUGCGUAGAGAUCGGGAGGAACAUCAGUGGCGAAGGCGGCCACCUGGGACAACACUGACGC
This 223-nucleotide ribosomal RNA is filed under the name uncultured bacterium. Its description in RNAcentral is "partial 16S ribosomal RNA". It matches the Rfam family "Bacterial small subunit ribosomal RNA", at positions 524 to 746 of the family's 1533-position model. The record is from RNAcentral.